This 539-nucleotide ribosomal RNA is filed under the name uncultured archaeon. RNAcentral describes it as "bacterial SSU rRNA". It matches the Rfam family "Archaeal small subunit ribosomal RNA", at positions 460 to 997 of the family's 1478-position model. The record is from RNAcentral.
AGCCGCCGCGGGAACACCGGCGGCCCGAGUGGUGAUCGUGAUUAUUGGGUCUAAAGGGUCCGUAGCCGGUUUGGUCAGUCCUCCGGGAAAUCUGAUAGCUCAACUAUUAGGCUUUCGGGGGAUACUGCCAGACUUGGAACCGGGAGAGGUAAGAGGUACUACAGGGGGUAGGAGUGGAAUCUUGUAAUCCCUGUGGGACCACCUGUGGCGAAGGCGUCUUACCAGAACGGGUUCGACGGUGAGGGACGAAGCUGGGGGCACGAACCGGAUUAGAUACCCGGGUAGUCCCAGCCGUAAACGAUGCUCGCUAGGUGUCAGGCAUGGCGCGACCGUGUCUGGUGCCGCAGGGAAGCCGUGAAGCGAGCCACCUGGGAAGUACGGCCGCAAGGCUGAAACUUAAAGGAAUUGGCGGGGGAGCACAACAACGGGUGGAGCCCUGCGGUUUAAUUGGACUCAACGCCGGACAACUCACCGGGGGCGACAGCAAUAUGUAGGCCAAGCUGAAGACUUUGCCUGAAUCGCUGAGAAGAGGUGCAUGG